RNAcentral lists this ribosomal RNA (253 nucleotides) under uncultured bacterium. RNAcentral describes it as "partial 16S ribosomal RNA". It matches the Rfam family "Bacterial small subunit ribosomal RNA", at positions 524 to 776 of the family's 1533-position model. The record is from RNAcentral.
UACAGAGGGUGCUAACGUUGUUCGGAAUCACUGGGCUUAAAGCGCACGUAGGCGGCUAGGCAAGUGCGAUGUGAAAGCCCCCGGCCCAACCGGGGAACUGCAUCGUAGACUGCCUGGCUUGAGAGCGGUAGGGGAGACUAGAACUCCUGGUGGAGCGGUGAAAUGUGUUGAUAUCGGAAGGAACGCCGGUGGCGAAAGCGGCACACUGGGUCUCAACUGACGCUGAGGCACGAAAGCCAGGGGAGCAAACGGG